This 23-nucleotide non-coding RNA is filed under the name Arabidopsis thaliana (thale cress). The record is from RNAcentral. Lineage: Eukaryota; Viridiplantae; Streptophyta; Magnoliopsida; Brassicales; Brassicaceae.
AUAAAAUUGCAUUUUCCCGACAC